Molecule: transfer RNA, 74 nt
Filed under: Candidatus Omnitrophica bacterium 4484_70.2
Lineage: Bacteria; Pseudomonadati; Candidatus Omnitrophota
Description: tRNA-Met
Rfam family: tRNA
About the family: Transfer RNA (tRNA) molecules are approximately 80 nucleotides in length. Their secondary structure includes four short double-helical elements and three loops (D, anti-codon, and T loops).
Source: RNAcentral
GGCGGCGUAGCUCAGACUGGCAGAGCAAACGGCUCAUACCCGUUAUGUCGGCGGUUCAAAUCCGCCCGCCGCCA